RNAcentral lists this transfer RNA (81 nucleotides) under Enterobacter kobei. Its description in RNAcentral is "tRNA-Phe". The record is from RNAcentral. Lineage: Bacteria; Pseudomonadati; Pseudomonadota; Gammaproteobacteria; Enterobacterales; Enterobacteriaceae.
GGCUGGCGUUGAAAACUGCGCAGAGUCAGGGCGGGAUUGAAAAUCCCCGUGUCCUUGGUUCGAUUCCGAGUCCGGUCACCA